RNAcentral lists this ribosomal RNA (776 nucleotides) under uncultured Neocallimastigales. Its description in RNAcentral is "partial large subunit ribosomal RNA". It matches the Rfam family "Eukaryotic large subunit ribosomal RNA", at positions 23 to 645 of the family's 3401-position model. The record is from RNAcentral. Lineage: Eukaryota; Fungi; Neocallimastigomycota; Neocallimastigomycetes; Neocallimastigales.
GAGACUCUGUGCGCGCGCAUAUCAAUAAGCGGAGGAAAAGAAACUAACAUAGGAUUCCCUCAGUAACGGCGAGUGAAGGCGGGAAGAGCUCAAAUUUGAAAUUUCAAGGUUUUACCUUGACGAAUUGUAGUUUAAAGAAGUGUUUUCUGUUGAAGUUUCGGUAAAAGUUCUUUGGAAUAGGACAUCAUAGAGGGUGAGAAUCCCGUAUUUGACCAUUACUUUCCAGCUGUGUGAUACACUUUCAAAGAGUCGGAUUGUUUGGGAAUGCAGUCCAAAAUGGGUGGUAAAUUUCAUCUAAAGCUAAAUAUUGGCGAGAGACCGAUAGCGUACAAGUACCGUGAGGGAAAGAUGAAAAGAACUUUGAAAAGAGAGUUAAACAGUACGUGAAAUUGUCAAAAGGGAAGCGUUUGACACCAGUGUUGUUUAGUUGAAAAUCAAUUCAAUAGUUUUUGAUUCUAAGUAGUAUUGACUUCAUCAGCUUAGCUGCUUUCUUCUCAGAAGUUAUUGAAUGCACUUUUCAGUUAACAAGUCAACAUCAAUUUCUUUUGUUGUAAAAGGGUAAGAGGAAGGUGGCUUGCGCUUCGGCUCAAGUGUUUAUAGCCUUUUAUCUCUGCAAUCGGAGAGAUUGAGGUCUGCAGCGUAGAUCCUUCGGGUUAGAUACAUUGGUGCUAAGCUAUAGCCUUGUAUAGACAACUUGUUGACUAUGCUCAGUCAUGUAGCUUACUCGCUGAUGCUAUUUUACCUACGCUUAGGAUGUUGAAGUCAUCGUAUCGCGC